This 253-nucleotide ribosomal RNA is filed under the name uncultured bacterium. Its description in RNAcentral is "partial 16S ribosomal RNA". It matches the Rfam family "Bacterial small subunit ribosomal RNA", at positions 524 to 776 of the family's 1533-position model. The record is from RNAcentral.
UACGAAGGGGGCUAGCGUUGCUCGGAAUCACUGGGCGUAAAGGGUGCGUAGGCGGGUCUUUAAGUCAGGGGUGAAAUCCUGGAGCUCAACUCCAGAACUGCCUUUGAUACUGAAGAUCUUGAGUCCGGGAGAGGUGAGUGGAACUGCGAGUGUAGAGGUGAAAUUCGUAGAUAUUCGCAAGAACACCAGUGGCGAAGGCGGCCCACUGGCCCGAUACUGACGCUGAGGCACGAAAGCGUGGGGAGCAAACAGG